GAUUGAAGAACGUAGCGAAAUGCGAUAAAUAAUGUGAAUUGCAGAAUUCCGUGAAUCAUCGAGUUUUUGAACGCACAUUGCACUCCUUGGUAUUCCGAGGAGUACGCCUGUUCGAGCGUCAUUACACUCUCAAGCUCGGCUUGGAUUUGAAUCACUGUCGUGGCAGGAUUCCAAUAGUGUCGGCAAUUGACCAUCUGUGAUGACUCACUGGGAGUUAAUUCGCCGGAAACCCUUCUUUCCAGUUGACCUCGGAUCAGGCGGGGAUACCCGCUGAACUUAAGCAUAUCAAUAAGCGGAGGA
RNAcentral lists this unclassified non-coding RNA (300 nucleotides) under soil metagenome. Its description in RNAcentral is "partial contains 5.8S ribosomal RNA, internal transcribed spacer 2, and large subunit ribosomal RNA". The stretch from base 4 to 121 matches the Rfam family "5.8S ribosomal RNA", at positions 37 to 154 of the family's 154-position model. The record is from RNAcentral.